AACGAACGCUGGCGGCAUGCCUAACACAUGCAAGUCGAACGAGACCUUCGGGUCUAUUGGCGCACGGGUGCGUAACGCGUGGGAACCUGCCCUUAGGUUCGGAAUAACUCCCCGAAAGGGGUGCUAAUACCGGAUAAUGUCCUCGGACCAAAGAUUUAUCGCCUUUGGAUGGGCCCGCGUUGGAUUAGCUAGUUGGUAGGGUAAAAGCCUGCCAAGGCGACGAUCCAUAGCUGGUCUGAGAGGAUGAUCAGCCACACUGGGACUGAGACACGGCCCAGACUCCUACGGGAGGCAGCAGUGGGGAAUAGUGGACAAUGGGCGAAAGCCUGAUCCAGCAAUGCCGCGUGAGUGAUGAAGGCCUUAGGGUUGUAAAGCUCUUUUACCCGGGAUGAUAAUGACAGUACCGGGAGAAUAAGCUCCGGCUAACUCCGUG
RNAcentral lists this ribosomal RNA (433 nucleotides) under uncultured bacterium. RNAcentral's name for it is "partial 16S ribosomal RNA". It matches the Rfam family "Bacterial small subunit ribosomal RNA", at positions 29 to 507 of the family's 1533-position model. The record is from RNAcentral.